AUUUACCCAGUUCUUCCUGGGGUCACUUAAUGACAUUGUUAAGAUUCUUAAUGUAGCUACUCGGUGAAAGAGCUGCCAAGACUGCAUAAAGGAUGAGUUGUUCUCCUCCUGCCAUGGCCCCAGCUGAUUUACAACCACUUUGUGUUUGAUGCUGGACAGGACAAUUUCAUCAGUCUCCAGCCCUUGUGAUCAUGUCCCAGAAUGACUAGUCAGGUGAAGCCCUAGCUGAAGAUUGCUUGUCACCUGUAGGAAGUAGCUGUCUGCUGGAAAAAAAAAUCUCAAAGAUUGGAGAGAGUAAAACUGAAACAAAAAAUCACACUUUGAAAUCCAUCCCUUUGGCAGCUGUCCCUUCUUCAUUUUGGCAGACAGAGGGUUGCUGGCAAGACUAGUGAGGUCUCACAGGUGCCCCGGAACCACAUCCUUCUUUUGCAGAAAAGAUCACAGUUGCAAGGAGCCACCUUGUGAGGAUUUAUCAGUAAUUAAGUGGUAG
This 490-nucleotide long non-coding RNA is filed under the name Phasianus colchicus (ring-necked pheasant). RNAcentral describes it as "lncRNA (ENSPCLG00000004270.1)". Lineage: Eukaryota; Metazoa; Chordata; Aves; Galliformes; Phasianidae. The record is from RNAcentral.